Molecule: ribosomal RNA, 850 nt
Filed under: Trachylepis acutilabris
Lineage: Eukaryota; Metazoa; Chordata; Lepidosauria; Squamata; Scincidae
Description: partial 12S ribosomal RNA
Rfam family: Bacterial small subunit ribosomal RNA
Source: RNAcentral
GUUUUGGUCCUAAACUUGCCGUUGUUUUUUACCAAAUUUACACAUGCAAGCCUCCACAUCCCAGUGAGAAUGCCCCAAAACCCCAAACAGCCAAGAGGAGCCGGCAUCAGGAUCAGAGCUUCACUCUAGCCUAAAACGCCUUGCUACGCCACACCCACACGGGCACUCAGCAGUGAAUAACAUUAAGACAUGAGCGAAAGCUCGACUUAGUUACGGUAAACAUGGCCGGUAAAUUUCGUGCCAGCCACCGCGGUUAUACGAAAGGCCAAAAACAACGACCCACGGCGUAAAGCGUGACCAAAGCAUGUCAAAGAUUUAAAGAAAUAUUGCCCCAAAGUCGUAAAACGCCUUGUCCGCAAGACCACCAACAACAAAAUGACUUUAAAAAAAAGACUUCUUGCCUCACGAAAGCUAAGAAACAAACUAGGAUUAGAUACCCUACUAUGCUUAGCCCUAAACAUAGACAGCACACACACAAUGCUGUCCGCCAGAGAACUACAAGUGAAAAACUAGAAACUCCAAGGACUUGGCGGUGCUCCACACCGACCUAGAGGAGCCUGUCCUAUAAUCGAUAAUCCACGCUAUACCUCACCACCCCUUGCAACUCAGCCUAUAUACCGCCGUCGUCAGCUUACCCUAUGAAGGAAACAAAGUAAGCAAAAUAGUUUAUAACUAAAACGUCAGGUCAAGGUGUAGCACAUGGGGUGGAAGAGAUGGGCUACACUUUCUGCCACAGAACACACGAACAGCACAAUGAAAUUAGUGCUCAAAGGCGGAUUUAGCAGUAAGAAAAACAAGACAAUUUUUCUGAAGUUCGCUCUGGAGCGCGCACACACCGCCCGUCACCCUC